This is a long non-coding RNA of Bubalus bubalis (water buffalo), 1208 nucleotides long. RefSeq lists it as uncharacterized. The transcript is spliced from 2 exons. The record is from RefSeq and is a predicted model, not a curated record. NCBI's taxonomy places the organism in Eukaryota, Metazoa, Chordata, Mammalia, Artiodactyla, Bovidae.
UCUUCCUAACCCAGGGAUCAAAGCUGCAUUUCCUGCUUCCCCUGCAUUGCGGGCAAAUUCUUCACUGCUGAGCCACUGGGGAAGCCCAUAUAACAGCUUAUAAUAAGUAAAUAAAUAAAAUGGUUACUAGCUAUAAGCUAGAACUGCAGUAACACCUAUCCGCCUCAUCUCAUGAAUUUCUCAAGAAACACUCAAUAACCCAAGAAAAUGAGCACAGGCCCACACAGAUGAGACAGUGUGAGGACAAGCAGGAAGCUGACUGGGAGUCCUCAGAGUGCUGACAGAAAACAAGAGGUUAUCAGGCUGCGUGAGCCCAGGAAGAUUGCCUUGCCUUUCUGGCUCUCAGACCAAACAAGAAGGCUGAACUGAGGUCCUGAGCAGUAUUAACUCUGUGACUGCACUGUGCUUCAGCCAUAAACCAUCAGACUGUUUCUUCAGGGAGAGUUGCCUGAGCAUGAUUGCAGAAAACACCUCCAGGAGCCAGGAGGUGGGGUGGCCAGUGACCACAGGUGUGAGCGUUCCUCUGGGCUGUAAGCAAAAUGAAAAUGGGCUGGUGAUUCACUAGCACACUCAGUGACCCGCCCCUCUCUGGGGAGACCAGGAGCACCCUACCCCAUUUGCCCUGAGUCCUAGACAGCCAGCCCCCGGCCUGUGCCUCUCUGUGUGUGAUCUUUCCACAGCUUUUUUCUCCUGUAUUGUGGCAAGAUACAUACCUUGUUCAUUUUCACACUGUAAACAGUUCCGCUGUGUGACCAUAUUAUAAUUUUCUUAUCUCUUCUGCAGUUGGUAAAAUGUAGGCUAUCUCUGCAUAUAUUUUUGUUGUUAUUACAAAUAAUAUGGCUCUGAACACCCUUAUACAUGUGUAUAUAUUAAUAUGCUGGGUUGUAGGAGUGGAGUUACUGAGAUUUAAAAUGAUUUUCCAACGUGAUGGCAAUAAUUUACAUUCUUACCAGCAGUGGGUGAAAAUACCCUGAUCACCAUCUGGUACGGCCAGACUUCUUAAUUUUUGUCAACCUGUGGGGUCUUAUUUGAGUUUUUUAAUUUCUAGUGAGGUUGAACUUUUCAUUUGUUUUUCCUCUUCACUGAUUUGCCUAUUCAUAUUUUUGCCAAUUUUAAACAUUAGGUUUAUAUUUUUUACUAUGAAAUCUAUAGUAACUGUAUCCUGAACACUAAUAUUAUAUGGAUAAAUGUCUUUCCAUUCUGUGGCC